Daucus carota subsp. sativus is the source of this 455-nucleotide long non-coding RNA. RefSeq lists it as uncharacterized. NCBI's taxonomy places the organism in Eukaryota, Viridiplantae, Streptophyta, Magnoliopsida, Apiales, Apiaceae. The transcript is spliced from 2 exons. The record is from RefSeq and is a predicted model, not a curated record.
AAAAAUCUUCUAUACUAUUAAUGUAGAACCAAUUGCAAGGUCAAUGCUCCAGGGGGAGAACUGGGUUCAUAUAAUUGAAGGGGUUAUUCAGGGGCUACUGUGUCUGCAGGAGUACUCAAGAUUGACAAUAAUUCACCAAGAUAUGAAAGCCAGCAACAUAUUACUGGAUGCAGAGAUGAGGCCAAAAAUAUCCUACUUCGGUAUAGCUAGAAGCUUCCAGAAAGACGAAAAUGAAGGAAACACAGGAAAGAUUGUCGGAACAUAUGGUUAUGUUCCUCCCGAGUACGUAAAACAAGGAAUAUACUCGAGAAAAUAUGAUGUUUACAGCUUUGGAGUAAUACUACUACAAAUUAUAAGUGGAAAGAAAUGUACACAUCUAUAUGGUGCAACCAGGAGCUUAAAUCUGCUGGAAUACGUAAGAUAAUUGGUUCUGUUUGGCAGAGCUUAUUUGUCAA